GCGUAGUGUAGUGGUUAGCACGCUCGACUAACAAUCGAGAGGCCCGGGUUCGAGUCCUGGAAUGCAGCG
Molecule: transfer RNA, 69 nt
Filed under: Portunus trituberculatus (swimming crab)
Lineage: Eukaryota; Metazoa; Arthropoda; Malacostraca; Decapoda; Portunidae
Description: tRNA-Val
Rfam family: tRNA
About the family: Transfer RNA (tRNA) molecules are approximately 80 nucleotides in length. Their secondary structure includes four short double-helical elements and three loops (D, anti-codon, and T loops).
Source: RNAcentral